GAAUUCACUAGUGAUUCAGGCCUAACACAUGCAAGUCGAGCGGUAGAGAGAAGCUUGCUUCUCUUGAGAGCGGCGGACGGGUGAGUAAUGCCUAGGAAUCUGCCUGGUAGUGGGGGAUAACGUUCGGAAACGGACGCUAAUACCGCAUACGUCCUACGGGAGAAAGCAGGGGACCUUCGGGCCUUGCGCUAUCAGAUGAGCCUAGGUCGGAUUAGCUAGUUGGUGAGGUAAUGGCUCACCAAGGCGACGAUCCGUAACUGGUCUGAGAGGAUGAUCAGUCACACUGGAACUGAGACACGGUCCAGACUCCUACGGGAGGCAGCAGUGGGGAAUAUUGGACAAUGGGCGAAAGCCUGAUCCAGCCAAGCCGCGUGUGUGAAGAAGGUCUUCGGAUUUAAAUCAAAAGAGUUGGGAGGAAGGGCAGUUACCUAAUACGUGAU
RNAcentral lists this ribosomal RNA (440 nucleotides) under uncultured bacterium. Its description in RNAcentral is "bacterial SSU rRNA". It matches the Rfam family "Bacterial small subunit ribosomal RNA", at positions 34 to 469 of the family's 1533-position model. The record is from RNAcentral.